Molecule: non-coding RNA, 183 nt
Organism: Oryza glumipatula
Lineage: Eukaryota; Viridiplantae; Streptophyta; Magnoliopsida; Poales; Poaceae
Source: Rfam
AAUAAGUACAGCCAUGAGUUUCCGCGCCCAACUUUGAUCGUCCGUUUUAUUUGAGAUUUUUUUAUAAUUAGCAUUUUUAUUGUUAUAAGAUGAUAAAACAUGACUUAUGUUUUUAAUUUUUUUCAAAAAAAAUUUAAAUAAGAUGAAUGGUCAAAGUUGGACGCUGAAAACCAUGUACUUAUU